RNAcentral lists this ribosomal RNA (332 nucleotides) under Salmonella enterica subsp. enterica serovar Paratyphi B var. L(+) tartrate +. RNAcentral describes it as "partial 23S ribosomal RNA". It matches the Rfam family "Bacterial large subunit ribosomal RNA", at positions 1213 to 1547 of the family's 2925-position model. The record is from RNAcentral. Lineage: Bacteria; Pseudomonadati; Pseudomonadota; Gammaproteobacteria; Enterobacterales; Enterobacteriaceae.
CUUAUGCGUUGUUGGGUAGGGGAGCGUUCUGUAAGCCUGUGAAGGUGUGUCGUGAGGCAUGCUGGAGGUAUCAGAAGUGCGAAUGCUGACAUAAGUAACGAUAAAGCGGGUGAAAAGCCCGCUCGCCGGAAGACCAAGGGUUCCUGUCCAACGUUAAUCGGGGCAGGGUGAGUCGACCCCUAAGGCGAGGCCGAAAGGCGUAGUCGAUGGGAAACGGGUUAAUAUUCCCGUACUUGGUGUUACUGCGAAGGGGGGACGGAGAAGGCUAUGUUGGCCGGGCGACGGUUGUCCCGGUUUAAGCGUGUAGGUGUGUGUUCCAGGUAAAUCCGGUU